Molecule: long non-coding RNA, 808 nt
Filed under: Homo sapiens (human)
Lineage: Eukaryota; Metazoa; Chordata; Mammalia; Primates; Hominidae
Description: HSALNT0090107
Source: RNAcentral
CAGAGAGGGACGUUGGGACUUUUGUAAAUACUCAGGAGGCAGAUGGCCUGAGUCCAACACUCACUGAUGCCUAUGCAAUCUUGGGUAAGAUACUUAAACUUCCAGUGCCUUAUUUUCUUCAUCAGCAAAGUGUGGAUAAAAAUUAUAACUACCCGAUAGUACUGAUGAGAUUGCAGCACUUCCUGACACAUACUGAGUGCUUUAUUGUUAUUAGGUUGUGUGAUAUAAUAAUAGCUAAGUGGCUAGAGAUUAAACCAUUUCUAGCCUUUGGUCUCCGGUUUGCUUUUUAUUUGUUUUUAUGGCUUCUGUUUCCUCUUGUUACUCUCAUCAGGCUAUUUGCUACUACCUAUGCUUAUUAUUCAUUCAUUCAUUCACUUGUUCACUCAUCAGCGGCACACCUGCCACGGGCCAAGCUCUCUGCUAGGCCCUGGGAAACAGUAGGGAAUGAGGCUGACUAUGCACAGGACGAAGUGGCUUAUUUCCUAAUUCAAUAGUCUGUUAAUGAGCAUCAGGAAUGUCAAGAAUCCUCCUUCUUCUACUGAAGAUGGUUAGCAGCCUGUAACAAUUAUUAUGACACAUUUUUCAUUUAUAUUUUAGCUUCUGAAAAUCAUGAGGAAUUAUUUUUUAAAGCAGUCUUUGAUUUUGAUUACUGAGAAUACAAUAUGUUUUGAGAACCUCAUUAUUUCCUCUGAUACUUUCUUCUUUUCUUCAUAUUUCUUAUAUUCUUUAUGUUUAAAUUGAAGGUGAUUUAUUAUGCAAGCUAUUGGAUAUGAUUUUGGAGUUUUUUGUACCAUUAAUUAUUGAGGGA